UAAAUACUACAAAUUACUGAGUAAGAUUUCUAUAGUUUGACUUAGUUAUUUUCUCAUAUUUGGAAAGUUUUCUCAUAUGUGGCAUAACUGUUUGCUUGUGCAGUUUAGGUGUGAUUCAAGUGAUGUAUGUCUUCAGUGAGGGUACCAGAGGUGACGAACAGGAUACCAGUUUUUAUCCGAAAUGAUCUCAGGAAGGUUGAAAAGAAAACAUGAUGAUGAUGUGUAGAAGUAGAGUGUAAGGUUACCUUACUAUUAACUCUGAAUGUAAACUUUGAACAUAUAUUUCUGACUUCAUGUAACAUUUUAUUUACAGGCCAUCCAUGACAAAGAUGUCUUGAUGAAUGACAGAAAAAUCAAACAAUGCCAUUGACCUUGAUUAAAACCAGUAUUAGCUGUCACUUCUGAAUAAGGAUCCUGUGUGAAAAGUCAUGAUUUCACCUCUACCCCUAACCCGGAUGUAUGUAAUCCAUGUUGGUGACACAUUUUGACAGCUAUCUCCAGAAACUGCCCAACAUGCUGUGUUGAAACUUUUAUAUUUUGCUUCUCAGAUGUUGGUCUUGGCCAGGCAGUCACACCAUUGAACAACUGGCUGGUGAGAGUUAACAGCUUCAGUGUUCUCCCGGCAGAUUACCGAGGAAACUUCCCAAACAUCAGGUCUACCAACACUGUAUUCUUGUCUCGUGAUGUUAAAUAUCGUAUGGAGAGAAGUUCUUCCUUUAAGAUUUUGAAUGCGUCCUGAAGCUUCGAUCGAGAGGAUACAUGUAAUAAAGACUACCAAAUUACAAGUCAGAAAAGGUGCUUCCUCUUCCCUCAGAUACAACUGCCUUGGACAAAGUAUGACACCCUGGCCUGUUGACAUGAAGUUUUGACGACAAAUGAUGAUGGGAAGAAAUAAGUAUUGGAGGAAUAUAGCAGCCAUGUCAACCAGGUCAACCAGGUCAAUCAGGUCAACCAUGUCAAACAACAGAGAGAUGUAUACAGACAACAAUCUUCAGAAAGUAAAGAAAAGUUCAGGUUACUGCCAGAAAGAAAAGAAAAUAUCAGGUAAUUUAACAAUGACUUAAGUAAAAAUUUUCGAAUUGCAAAUAAAUACCUUAAAAGAUGUUAUAUCCCGGGGGCCUUUCUAUUUUGUGUGUAUUUUUGCUAGUUAUUUGAGAGUUCAAGUGCUGUAAAUUAACCAAUUCAAUACAAACACAUAAAAGAUUAUCCAUGUUUGAAUUUAUCUUCACACCCUAAACAUAUUGUUGAAAAAUAUGGAACAGAAUGUUCAUGUACAUUAUGUAUUAACUAUCUUUUUUAACAUUAUGAAAGAACAUGCCAUCGUGUAUCGCUUAAUUAUCCCUUCACGACGAAAGUCGGGGAGGGGAUAUAGCUUUCCGUUCGUACGUAGGUACGUAAGUACGUACGUAUGUAUGUUCACUUUUUGUCAGCUGACCAAACUUCAUAUAUGGGUCCAGCAUGGGAAUACCUCGAACGAGCUUGUGUUUCUGGGUGCCAAGGUCAAGGUCAAGGCCACUGAGAUUUUUACUAAUAAAUAUGUUGGUUACUAACAUGUUAUAUCUAAUAUUUCCUUUGUUCAGUUGACAGUUUUCAACCUACAGCAGACUGUUUCACAUUUUGGAAGUUCCUAGAUGGUUAUUAUAACCAGAAUUGUUACAUAUUACAGACUCAGUCCACUGUAAAUUAUUUUGUAUGAUAGUUGGACUUCAGUUGAAUCUGUAAAAACCAAUAAGGUAUGGCUUUGUAGUAAUUACAAUGAAAUGAAAUUCACCAAAUGAACAAUAAAUCCAGUUCCAAUUGAAUUGAAAUAUGUAAUUUAUGAACUUAGAAAAUCAUAAUUGAACAUUAUUUAAAAAAUCUUAACACCAACAAUGUCAAUUUAACUAUUUUAAUUUUAAUUUUAAAAUAAAAAGAAUUUGAUACAAACAUAUAAUUAUUUAAUUACCAGAUAUACAAAGGUUUUAAUACAAACAUAUAAUUAUUUAAUUACCAGAUAUACAAAGGUUUUAAUACAAACAUAUAAUUAUUUAAUUACCAGAUAUACAAAACCUUUUUAAACAAAAAUGAUAUUCAUAUUAUUUUGUGAAGUUGCAUCAUUUUAAUGCAAUUUAACUAAGUCUUUCAUAAUGUUUAUUUCUCAAUUUUGGUUGUGAUUUCCAGGCAGACUGGUGAGGGACUUACUCCUCAAGACCUUCUGGUAUCCCUUGGAUGGAAUGAUGUCCUCAGAAAUUGCUUCUCAAAGAUUGCACAUCUGGUUGAACUGUUGAAUAUUGUACCAACAUCAACAGCUUCGGUGGAAAGGGGGUUCAGCCUGAUGAAAGGGCUAUGUACACCCCUUAGGAGUUGCUUGGGGCAGGGCCAUUUAACCAAUUUGAUGCUGAUUUGUCUGGAAGGUCCUGCAGAGCUGUCCGAUGAGGCCCUAUAGACUCCCUUGUUCUUACAUUUAGGAAUAAAAAGUCAAGGCAUCUGCCUUUAUAGACAAUAUAGAGAACAUUGUCAAAAUUAAACAAAAUAUGCAAAGGA
Pecten maximus is the source of this 2523-nucleotide long non-coding RNA. RefSeq lists it as uncharacterized. The transcript is spliced from 5 exons. NCBI's taxonomy places the organism in Eukaryota, Metazoa, Mollusca, Bivalvia, Pectinida, Pectinidae. The record is from RefSeq and is a predicted model, not a curated record.